This 301-nucleotide ribosomal RNA is filed under the name uncultured bacterium. RNAcentral's name for it is "partial 16S ribosomal RNA". It matches the Rfam family "Bacterial small subunit ribosomal RNA", at positions 509 to 809 of the family's 1533-position model. The record is from RNAcentral.
CAGUAGCCGCGGGAAUACGUAGGGUGCAAGCGUUAAUCGGAAUUACUGGGCGUAAAGCGUGCGCAGGCGGUUUGUUAAGACAGAUGUGAAAUCCCCGGGCUCAACCUGGGAACUGCAUUUGUGACUGGCAAGCUAGAGUCUGGCAGAGGGGGGUGGAAUUCCGCGUGUAGCAGUGAAAUGCGUAGAUAUGCGGAGGAACACCGAUGGCGAAGGCAGCCCCCUGGGCCAACACUGACGCUCAUGCACGAAAGCGUGGGGAGCAAACAGGAUUAGAUACCCGAGUAGUCCCUGUCUCUUAUAU